CAGCUACUCUGCUGUGACCCACUCCUUGGCUCCUUACCUCAGGCUCAGGAGACCUUGGGGCUGGAAAACAAUGGGUUGUUUCUGUCCUCUUUCUCUGAUUUUCUUCACCCUUUCACAUGGCCCCAAAUGAAUAUUAAUAAUCACAUUUUCUUACUCAGAGAUGUCCAGAUAUGGAAAGAGAAUGUCUUUACUUUGGUUUAAUCAGAUACAAGGACAAGUAGACUUGUGGAUACUGCCCACUUUUGUAAGUGAUCUGAACAGCAAGCUUUGAAGAGCUGAUAGACUGGCAUUUCCUCAAAAGGAUCUCUACAUACAGUGUGAAAAAAAUAAGAGAAGAAAUGGAAGCCUAGAGGCAAGAUGACAGAAGAAACUGUAGUGUUAAUCCAGAUAAGACAUUGAAGAGCUAAACCAGGAUUUUGGUAAGACAGAUGGAGAGAUGUGAAUGGAUCUGAAUGCUACCAAGAAGGUCAAAUUCAACGGUGCUUACAGGCAUACCUUGGAAACAUUGCAGAUUUAGUUCUAGAACACCACAGUAAAGCAAAUAUUGCAAGAAAAUGAAUCACAUGAAUUUUGGGUUUCCCAGCGCACAUAAAAGUUAUGUUUACACUAUACUAUAGUCUAAGUGUGUAAUAGCAUUAUGUAUUUUAAAAGUACAUGCCUUAAUUAAAAAAUAUUUUAUUGCUAAAAA
Long non-coding RNA from Homo sapiens (human), 688 nucleotides. RefSeq annotates it as DKK2 antisense RNA 2. The transcript is spliced from 2 exons. The record is from RefSeq and is marked validated. Lineage: Eukaryota; Metazoa; Chordata; Mammalia; Primates; Hominidae.